UCUGCUGUAGACAGCAAGCGUCUCUAGCUGA
This 31-nucleotide non-coding RNA is filed under the name Mus musculus (house mouse). The record is from RNAcentral. Lineage: Eukaryota; Metazoa; Chordata; Mammalia; Rodentia; Muridae.